This is a non-coding RNA of Aegilops tauschii subsp. strangulata, 871 nucleotides long. The record is from RefSeq and is a predicted model, not a curated record. NCBI's taxonomy places the organism in Eukaryota, Viridiplantae, Streptophyta, Magnoliopsida, Poales, Poaceae.
UCUCCUCCCACCCCGUGGAAGCAACCCCCGCUCGAGUCCUCUCUCUCGCCCCAACCCCUCUUUCCCUCUUUCGAUUGUGUGGUGGCGCCUGCGCCGGCGCCAGCGCUGGAGACGGAGGACCAGCGGCAGCGCUACUGGAGGAGACCGCGGCGGUGCUUCCCCGUCCCCUUCCUCUUCCUCUCCCCUGCCCAACCGGCGGCACCUCAUCCAACUGCAGCGGCGGCGUGAGCUCGCCGGCGACCCGGAGCAGCGGCGCUGCGAGCUUUCUGGCGACCACAAGUCCACAACAACCCUAUAGCCGGCGUGCUUCUUCCCCAAUGGUGGACCGGAACAAGACCUGCAGGGCAUCGAGUACGGCUCCAAAUUCCUCUGGAACGGCCAGCCCGGUACCUCCAUCAGAUUCAGCCGUCCGAACUGAUUUAGCCUGACGCUUGGAUUGCAUAGUGGCAGGGAUUUGGCCCCCGAGUGGUUUUCGUGUCAAUCAGGGGUCACCUAAUCCUCUAGAGGGUUAAAUCCACUAGAGGUUUAUUUCCACUACAACCGAACAAAGCCUUAGGGAGAUAUGCAUUGUUAGAUGCAAAUCAGUUUGAGAGAGAUACAUGCAUAUUUCUCAUGGCUCACAUGCACACAUAAUACUCUCUCUUUUUUUUGCAUGCACAAAAACUUGCAGCCUUGUCGUAGCGGCCGGUACAAAGAUGCUUCCCUCGAGCGCUUUCCUUUUUGCGUGGGGCAGGCACAGCAGACAUCAGCCAGAAAGAUAUGGAUCAUUCUCUUUGUUAGAAGGGAGCGAUAGAUUGGUGGAAUUGUUCAUUGUAUUGCUUGAGCCUCGUGGGCAUAUAUAUAGAAGUACAAUGACCAACUUGGAGUACAA